Molecule: long non-coding RNA, 512 nt
Filed under: Marmota monax (woodchuck)
Lineage: Eukaryota; Metazoa; Chordata; Mammalia; Rodentia; Sciuridae
Source: RNAcentral
AGGCGGAGGAGGAGGAGGAGAGCGGGGCCGGGAGCCCAACGACCAUUGUCUGCAGCGGCCACACAAAGAGGCCGGCCGUGGCCGCGCGGGGAUCCCGGCUGGCCCAGCAGACGCCCUGCGGAGAGCACCAGACCAGCGCAGGCAGCGCAACCGGCAGACGCGUGGGGAAACUGAGGCACAGAGGGGUGAUGAGCCCCGACGUCAGUGAACUGGCGACUCCGGGGAAGCUGGUCAGCUUUGGACGUCCCGGCCCACCCCACACAUACACACUUGCCGCCGAAGGGUACCCAGUCCCUCACCACUGAGGGACCCGCAGGCCGGCUGGGCAGCCGGAGGGGGCCUCACACUGCACCUCCAUAUUGGCCCUGACACCUCCAGAACCCUCCUCAAAGGCGCUGCUGACGACUUGGACGUUGACUUUGUGGCCCAUGGCUAUUUUUAUACCAUGGGUAGUUCUCUGCCCUGACUUUUAAAUUCAUGAUUUGUUUGUUUAAAAAAACGAAAGGAAGCAC